RNAcentral lists this long non-coding RNA (686 nucleotides) under Androctonus crassicauda. Lineage: Eukaryota; Metazoa; Arthropoda; Arachnida; Scorpiones; Buthidae. The record is from RNAcentral.
CAAUAUAUGAUUCAUAUUUUACAACUAAAUUUGCAAAUUCUAUUUAAUUUAACCUAAAUGCAUUAUUAUUAAGAUUAAUUAUUAAAAUAAAAAAUUAGCAAAAUUUAUUUUGAUUGAAUUUAACAACUUGAUUCAACAGUACAGUGAAACCCCUGUAAAAUGUGAUUUCACUUAACCAUGGUUAAUCACAGUAAAAAAAAAUUGCAUAAAAAAAUUUAGAAAUGCAGUUAACAUAAGUUCAUUUCAUCACAUUACAUAGGCAUUGUAUGAUAUUUGUAUUUUCUGUAUUCUCAAUUUUAUUUUUGUAGUUUGAUUAGUCUAAUAAAUGAUGAUGGAGAUGCCUAUGAGUACCAUCAUAGUUUUGGUUGCUCCCCUUCCUUUUUUCUAAUGUCUCAUUAGCAGAACUUCUUUUACCUUUCACUAACUCUUCUCACUUUUAUUUAUCUAUCAGCUAAACCUAUUAGAACAGCUGCUGUCCAAUUUGAACUUCAUCAUCACAUCAUCACAAGAGGAAGAAUGAAGAAGAGUGAAUCAGAACAGUAUUUUAGAAAGCAAGAGACCACAUUCACAUAACUUUAUAAUAAUAAUUAUUCCAUUUUAUUAUCAAUUAUUGUUGUUAAUGUUUUAUUGUGCCUAAUUUAUAAAUUAAACUUUAUCAUAGGCAUGUACAACAUAUAUAGUAUAUA